GUCUACCGCCAUGUCGCCCUGAACGUGCCCGAUCCCGUCUGAUCUCGGAAGCUAAGCAGGGUCGGGCCUGGUUCGUACUUGGAUGGGAGACCACGGAGGAAGACCGGGUGCUGUGGGCG
Molecule: ribosomal RNA, 119 nt
Filed under: Pteropus alecto (black flying fox)
Lineage: Eukaryota; Metazoa; Chordata; Mammalia; Chiroptera; Pteropodidae
Source: RNAcentral